Molecule: ribosomal RNA, 497 nt
Filed under: uncultured bacterium
Lineage: Bacteria
Description: partial 16S ribosomal RNA
Rfam family: Bacterial small subunit ribosomal RNA
Source: RNAcentral
GACGAACGCUGGCGGCGUGCCUAAUACAUGCAAGUUGAGCGCUGAAGGUUGGUACUUGUACCGACUGGAUGAGCAGCGAACGGGUGAGUAACGCGUGGGGAAUCUGCCUUUGAGCGGGGGACAACAUUUGGAAACGAAUGCUAAUACCGCAUAAAAACUUUAAACACAAGUUUUAAGUUUGAAAGAUGCAAUUGCAUCACUCAAAGAUGAUCCCGCGUUGUAUUAGCUAGUUGGUGAGGUAAAGGCUUACCAAGGCGAUGAUACAUAGCCGACCUGAGAGGGUGAUCGGCCACAUUGGGACUGAGACACGGCCCAAACUCCUACGGGAGGCAGCAGUAGGGAAUCUUCGGCAAUGGACGAAAGUCUGACCGAGCAACGCCGCGUGAGUGAAGAAGGUUUUCGGAUCGUAAAACUCUGUUGGUAGAGAAGAACGUUGGUGAGAGUGGAAAGCUCAUCAAGUGACGGUAACUACACAGAAAGGGACGGCUAACUACGUG